UGUGUAGUGUGUUAUGGAGAUUCCCUUCUCAGGUUUGCAGCUGGUCUUCAUCUUCAUAGCCUUCACUGUGUUCUGUGUGUUCAGCAUUGCUGCCGUCUACACAUACACCCAAACAAACAACCAAGAUGAAAAGAUGCACUCAGACCGGAACACAACUCAUCGCAAAAGCAGUUUAAAAUGGAAAACAAAAAGUGCUGUCAAGACUGUAAACCCAGAUCUUCCGUGAAGACACAUUGUACAAAGCAAAGGACCAGGUUCAGUACUUCUGACAGUGAGAAUUUCUCCUGAGAAAUUAUGGAUCUGCUAAAAAGGAAAAAAAAGAACAUGGUCAAGCUUCUAGAGAUGGAGAGCUUUCGCAGUGUCGAUUGUUUAUUUAAGUGCCUGUCUUCAUCAGUGGUUCCAGUGGGUAUUUAGAUAACUAUGUUAAGAAAAGAAACUAUGUUGGACUGGCGACCUGUCCAGGGUGUAUCCUGCCUUCCGCCCGAUGACCGCUGGGAUAGGCUCCAGCACCCCCCCGCGACCCUGAGGGAGAAGCAGCUUAGAAAAUGAAAUGGAUGUUAAGAAAAGUCUCAUGCUGCAUUGUGAAAGGACAGAAGAGAAAUAGUGGAUGCAAUAAUUACGUAGGCUUGAAAGAGUCAACGUACUGUUCUUCAUUUGUUUCUUCUUACAGUCAGAACUUUGCAAUGAUGCUUCUUCUACUUGCAAACUAGAAUCACAGAAAUACACUGCACAGCAAUGGCCUAGCAACACCACCUUCGCAACCACCUGGAAUACCAUAACCUCUUAGCCACUUCCUGGAAUACAUGUCUAAAUAAGAACUCUUUGCUGCUAGUUGAGGAUCUAAUUGAUCUUUCCAUGAUGGCUUGACUGAGUAUUAUUUGUUUGUUGAUUUUUGCUGGUUCCAACAUUUAAAUAUACCCUGAGGGCAGAUCAGAAUGUUAGCACUAUGGUAUGACUAUGGUAUGGUAUUUUGGUUUGCUCAUAUUCAGUCGACUUUAGGUGUUAAUUCUGAAGAAGUUCUAGAGAAGCAGUGAUAGAGAAUAACCUGACCAUCAUUUACUUCCGAAAGUUAGAAUGUAAAGUUGAACUGCAAUAUAAUAAUAUUUUAUAAUAUCUUAGGCUAUGUUACUUAACAAUUAAUAUCUAUAUUUUUGCAUUAUAUUUUACUAAGUAUAUAUAUUAAAAUGAAUGGUAAUGCACAUACUAUAAUCUACAACUGGAUUCUUCAAAGGUUCUUUAGAAAAGAAAUUGGUUCUAUAUGGAACCAUGAACACUCAAAGAACCCUUUGCAUGAUUAAAGGGUUCUUUGCAUCAUAAAAUAGUUUUUUAGACUAAUGGAGAAUGUUCUGUUCUAUAUGGAGUCAUUCUGAAAAGGGUUCUAUAUAACACCAAAAAUGGUUCUUCUGUUACUACAAUGUCACAAUAUAAGAACCCUUUGAGUGAUACAUAGAAACCUGUUCAUAAAGGUUCUAUAUAGUAAGUAAGUAAGUAAGUAAGUAAGCAAGCAAGCAAUAUAGAACCAUUAAUAGCACAUUUUCCAUCAGUCUGAA
This is a long non-coding RNA of Pygocentrus nattereri (red-bellied piranha), 1550 nucleotides long. RefSeq lists it as uncharacterized. The transcript has 3 exons. NCBI's taxonomy places the organism in Eukaryota, Metazoa, Chordata, Actinopteri, Characiformes, Serrasalmidae. The record is from RefSeq and is a predicted model, not a curated record.